CGGGUGAGUAACACGUGGAUAACCUACCUAUAAGACUGGGAUAACUUCGGGAAACCGGAGCUAAUACCGGAUAAUAUUUUGAACCGCAUGGUUCAAAUGUAAAAGACGGUCUUGCUGUCACUUAUAGAUGGAUCCGCGCUGCAUUAGCUAGUUGGUAAGGUAACGGCUUACCAAGGCAACGAUGCAUAGCCGACCUGAGAGGGUGAUCGGCCACACUGGAACUGAGACACGGUCCAG
Molecule: ribosomal RNA, 237 nt
Filed under: uncultured Staphylococcus sp.
Lineage: Bacteria; Bacillati; Bacillota; Bacilli; Caryophanales; Staphylococcaceae
Description: partial 16S ribosomal RNA
Rfam family: Bacterial small subunit ribosomal RNA
Source: RNAcentral